Long non-coding RNA from Piliocolobus tephrosceles (Ugandan red Colobus), 2972 nucleotides. RefSeq lists it as uncharacterized. The record is from RefSeq and is a predicted model, not a curated record. NCBI's taxonomy places the organism in Eukaryota, Metazoa, Chordata, Mammalia, Primates, Cercopithecidae. The transcript is spliced from 3 exons.
AUUGUUCCAAAGCAACUCUCCCAGCCCCGUGAACAACUCAGGGACCCCCUCAAUCCGCGGCAUGAGGCCCACCCGCAGAGGGAGAGGAGCUUCCGGUCCUGACUCCCACCAGGCGCAGGAGAGCCGAGCUCCUCUUUGGGUGGAUUAAAACAGACUUGGACAGAGUCUGGAAAAACAAACUCUUUUAAAACAAGACAAAGAUUGAGUCUGGCCAACUGGCUAUUUUCAAUCCUUGCUGAACGGAGUCAAGGCAGUUGGUAGUAACAGUUUGUGGCCAUCCGCUAUUGUCCCCCCACACGAGAGGGUGGGGCCCCCUCAAAGUGACCAGAGCCGGUGACUCCGGGACUCAGCCCUCCCGAAACAGCGCCUGGCCUAGUGAGUCUUCCCAGAACGGCAGAGGGGCAUCUAAGUGUGGACCAUGAGUGCCGGGCACCUGGAGGGAUGGAGGUGGGCCCCCCCAUCCUGUGGACCCUCAUGGAUGGGAAGUAGGAGGAGGACUUGCCGGGCCACACCCUCCCACUCCCUGAUUUCCCCAAAGCUCGCUGGAUACACGUCACUUGCUCUGCAGUCCACAUCAUCCGUAUCUCCUGUCCCACAGCCACGGGCUGCCCAGCAAGGUACCUGCCCAGCCGUCUCCACACCUGAGAGCCCACCUGGUACUGGUCCCGCAUUAUUUGUGGGUGUCAGCCCUGUCUUCACAGGAAUAGCUAGGGUCCUGAAGACAGAGGCAGCCCCAGAAGCCUCCACCAAUCCCAGUGCCAACACAGGAUGUUCAAUAACACCCAACCUAAUUCCAAAGAGAUUGUGAGCAGCAGCUGGGUUCAAAGUAAUCACUGCAUAACCCAGAAACAUUCAUUAAGCACCUACUGUGUGCUGGGCUAUCCACUAGGCAUUAGGAGAUACAAGACAUAGGGCUGCUGCCCUCAUGGGCGUCUCACUCAGGUGAGGGAACAGCCAAAUACUUGCAAUCACAACAGUGCCCUAUGAGUGCUGUGACCCGGGGCACAUCCAGCCCCCACUGAGGCAGGGGCCACCAGGAACAUUGUGCCAAGGAAUUCCGAGACCAGAGGCCUUAGGCCCAGUGGCAGCAUGGCAUGGUCUGGAUGGCAGACUUCAGUGAGCGGCGGAAAGACCGAAGGGACGGCAGAGCAAGAGGGAGGGAGAAUGCUGUCUCCCACAAAUACAGUCCACUUUCUCCGAACCUGAAGACUCGCUUAGAACCUCAUGGUCCAGGAAUCCAUCUGGAGAUGGUGGAAGUCAUGGUUUCCAUGAGAGUCCUUCUGUCUGUUGACUGAGCCACGGGGGGCUAGCUGGACUGCUCCCGCCAUGCAGCAAAGGAGAGGCAGCUGCUGUCCACUGAAAAGCAGGUGCGCUCAGCAUCCUUCCUUCACACCUUUAGGGCCUGGUGGCAGGAGGUGAGACGAGAUGCAGAUUUCAGCCCUGAGUCUGGCUUACUUCAGGAUCCCUCCCAGGGCUCUCUCACCUCAGAGGCAGUGUGGGACCCCAGGCCACACCUUGUUUGCAGGCCUCGCCUAGAUCGUGGUAGCAGCCAGAACUAACAAUUCCUUCAAGUCAGCAUCCCCGUGGCCCAGAGUGGGGACUGAGACCCACACACACCCUCAUCUGCAGGCACGUAGGGACGCAAAAAAUCCAGAGUGAGUACGUAGUGCACAUCAGGCCUUAAGAAGGUGGGUAGAAACGCAAAGCACCUAGCCAGCUGUGCCGCUCUGUGCCCCUGGGAGGAAGCUGGCAUGGUGCUGAUGCAGUUAGCGCCAUUGCACCCUCCUGGUGCUGCAGCUCGUUUGAACAAAGCCCAGAUUAGCAUGUGGUGCAGAGGUCUGCAUAUUUCAACAAACUGCUGCCUUGUCAGAUAUCACCUCGAGGGACGGGCUGAUGGAGUCCUUGGCAAACCCAGGACUGGCCGUGGAGUGGGGACACAGCCUGAACUGCCCCGGGCUGGUGGCACUGGCUUGCCCUGUGCGGCCUCCUCCCGUAGAUGGGGCAGAUAAUAAGGGGGAGGAUGCUCCCCAAGUCCACAGCUCUGCAGAGGGCCCAGACCCCACUCUGCCAGUGUGGUAGGCAUCAGAGCUGGGUGGGGCUCUGUGAAGUUAGGGUCAUGGAAAUGGGAUGUAAACUAUGGGACCUGAAGAGAAGGCCCCACCCCAGGAUGUGCACCCCAGACACCACGACACACCCUGGCUGACAGGUCUGGUCAACAGAGCCCUUGGGACCGGCAGUCUCUGCAGCCCAGCCUGCUGGUCCUGCUGAGCACCCAGGUGCCCACAGUGCUGACACAUGACCAAGGACAGACAUCCACGGUGUGGGCCGCCUGGAGCCCCCCAGGUCCCGGGAGCCCCUCGGCUUAUCGAAACCAACUCCAGCCCGGAAAGCCCUCAUUUGUUGAGGUCUCCUGGAGCCCCCCAGGCCUCUCCAGGUGGAGAAUGAGGCUCAAACGGAGGGGAAUCUUGGCAGCCCGGACGCACCGCCUGCAGGGAAGUUGCCUGCUGGCGCAGACACCCAGCCUGUCCAGAGCCUAACUGAAUGCCACGGGCCCCAGAGAUCCUCAGCCUGGAGCAGGCCUAGAGUCGGGGGCUCUGCCCGAGCAGGGACACAGUCCCCCAGGAAGGCGAGAACACAGCAGGCCAGAGGUGGGGAGGCCUCCAGUGAGGUCCAGCCAUCUCCACUGGAGCAAGGAAAAGAUCUCCUCUGCAGACUGCAGUCAGCAGCGGGCCCGGGGCGUCCUGCUCUGUCACAGGGGGAGGGACCCAUGAGCAGCAGCCAGGGUGCCCCCAUAGGAGGCUGCCCCCACCCCGCCAAGCCCAGACCAGCGGGGAGGCUCUCCUUGGAGGCAAGGCCCCCGCCUCCUGUUCUUCCUGGGUGACAUUUCCUCCAGAGAGUGGCCGGAAAGGUCACCUCCCCUCCACUCGAGCUGGCUUCAUUGCCGUGAUUACACUUUAUGAUUCUUUUAUGAA